This 78-nucleotide ribosomal RNA is filed under the name Glyptothorax garhwali. RNAcentral describes it as "partial 5.8S ribosomal RNA". Lineage: Eukaryota; Metazoa; Chordata; Actinopteri; Siluriformes; Sisoridae. The record is from RNAcentral.
GGACACAUUGAUUAUUGACACUUCGAAAGCACAUGGGGCCCCGGGUCCCUCCCGGGGCUACGCCUGUUUGAGGGUUGC